GGGUCUGUAGCUCAGUUGGAUUAGAGCGUAUGGCUACGAACUAUAAAGUCGGGGGUUCGAAUCCCUCCAGACUCA
Molecule: transfer RNA, 75 nt
Filed under: Lotharella oceanica
Lineage: Eukaryota; Cercozoa; Chlorarachniophyceae
Description: tRNA-Arg
Rfam family: tRNA
About the family: Transfer RNA (tRNA) molecules are approximately 80 nucleotides in length.
Source: RNAcentral